CCCCCUCCCACCCGAGCGCCGCUCGGCUCUCGGCUCGCUCGGGGCUUCCUCCGGAGCCACGUGGACCGCAGCCGGCUCGGCGGAGGCCCAGCCGCGGAGACGCCGGGGGCAGCGCGGGGACCGGCCUGCCGCCCCGAGAGGCGCUCUGCGGGGACAGCUCUGUGACACAUCGCGCCCAGGCCGCCGCCCACAAGCUGGCGAGGCUUAAGGAAGAGUGGCCUGGUGGCCCGGAGGCCCGUGGGGUCAGCCCCGGGAGGAGGCGACCGGCGCCCACCGAGAGGACGUGGCGGUGCCCAGAACAGCCCGAGUCGGGUGCACCGCAGCGAGAAGGGGCCGAUCCCCCUGCUGGCGACUGGGCCGAGCCACCGACUUCCUCUAAGGGCGCGGGACCCGAGGUGGGAUUGGGGAGGAGAGGGGAGGAGCGCGGUGCGCUGGGGCGCUGCUGAGGCCCGAACCGGGCCCGGUUCCGAGGCGCAGAGCGGCCCCCGCGGUCCGGCCCCCGCCCGCCGCCGAGUGCCUCCCAGAUGCGGAGGCUGCAGCGCGGUCCAGAGCAGGGCGAGCACUUAGCGCCGGUACCCAGGCAGGGGCCGCCCCCCAGGCGGCCUGAGACUGGGGCUUCGGACAGCGGGACCCCCUUUGGGGGCCAGGUUUGCGGCAUUUUUGCCCUUCCUCCUUUAUAAGAAAGUCAGGGCGGGGGAGACAUCUUGCUCAGUGGCAGAAUGCCGGUCUUAGAGGCUAAAUGCUGGACACAAGGCUUAAGAGGCAUUAAAAACAAUCUGGUUUUACAGCUCUUAUCCCCUUAUUGGGACUUUUUUGCAACUUUUCUGAGGAAUCCUAAAGGGAAGAGGCACAGCUUGGCCUAGGGGUCAGUUAAUUCUUCCAGCUUGGAGAAGGCAGCCUUUUGCAAUGCAAAGGGAGAAAGCUCUUUGGCCCGUCAUUCACCAGAAGGAUGAUGCAGCCUAUGCUUCAGGCCAGGGCCGCUGGACCAGACUUCCUGGUUCAGAUCCUGCACUGCCACUCACUGGAUGUGUGAGCUUAGGCUGGUUACUGAAUCCCCAAGCUUCCUAGCUCCCGGCCUCAGUUUCCUCACCUGUGAAAAUGGGUCUCAUUACUGUCCCUUCCCCAAGGUUGUUAUGAUUAAGUGAAUUCCUACAUGUCCAACCCUUAAAACUGUACUUGGUAGAUAGUAAGUGCCCCAUAAAAGUGAGCUAGCUGUGUGGGUGGUGGACCUCUCCAGUGCCGGGACCCUGCCCACAGCACAGGGGAGGAUGGGAUGGAGGCACUGGGGAGGACUUCUGGGACUUGGGGGAGCAAAGGAGAAAUAUUCAGAGAAGUAGAAGGGGAGCUAAUUAAAAAGGAGGGGGAGGGGAACGAAUGGGAAAAUUCGCUAAGAGAAGGGGACGGAAAAUAGUAGAGAGAUGCAAAGAGCAGGAGUCAGGGGAAAAAGCCAAAACAAAACAAUAAAACAAAGGGCACGUGGAUCUGCAAGAAUUCUUCAAGGAGCCGUGCCCAGGACAGUGGGGGCCUGCCACCUGGCUAAGAGUCCUGCCCUCCUUGAGUUCGAAAGAAAAGUUUUGGGUGUUUCAUGACCCCCCCUGAGACCUCUUGCCUGACCCUAUUGGGUUUUGUUUUGGUUCUAGAUGAGGGGUGAGCCCUUCGGCUGCCUGGAAGCAUCUCUUGGGCUUUGCUCUGUGAUCAUCUUCCAGCCAGGGGAACCUUCCUUCAUGGACCCCUCAGACUCAGCCCCUGAAGGGGUCCCUUGGAGCAUCAUCUGUGCCCAAGUCCUUGUCCUAAAUACAAGAGAGGUCAUCCUGCUGUCCUCAUGGGGACAGCUGCCUGCAGCGU
Equus caballus (horse) is the source of this 1845-nucleotide long non-coding RNA. The record is from Ensembl. NCBI's taxonomy places the organism in Eukaryota, Metazoa, Chordata, Mammalia, Perissodactyla, Equidae.